Molecule: non-coding RNA, 119 nt
Organism: Cajanus cajan (pigeon pea)
Lineage: Eukaryota; Viridiplantae; Streptophyta; Magnoliopsida; Fabales; Fabaceae
Source: Rfam
AGGUGCGAUCAUACCAACACUAAUGCCCCGGAUCCCAUCAGAACUCUGCAGUUAAGCGUGCUUGGGCGAGAGUAGUACUAGCAUGGGUGACCUCCUGGGAAGUCCUCGUGUUGCACCUU